ACGGAAGGCAGCAGUAGGGAAUAUUGCACAAUGGGGGAAACCCUGAUGCAGCAACGCCACGUGUGGGAAGAAGCAUUUCGGUGUGUAAACCACUGUCGUGAAGGAAUAAUGCUGGACCUCGGUCCAGUUGAAUGUACUUUGAAAGGAAGCACCGGCAAACUUCGUGCCAGCAGCCGCGGUAAUACGAGGGGUGCAAGCGUUGUUCGGAAUCACUGGGCGUAAAGGGAGCGCGGGCGGAGAUGCAAGCGGUCUGUACAAUCCCGGGGCCUAACCCCGGACCUGCAGACCGGACUGUUUCUCUUGGAUAGUUCAGGGGCAAGCGGAAUUCCUGGUGUAGCGGUGGAAUGCGUAGAGAUCAGGAAGAACACCGAUGGCGAAGGCAGCUUGCUGGGGACUUAUCGACGCUCAUGCUCGAAAGUGCGGGUAGCAAACAGGAUUAGAUACCCUGGUA
RNAcentral lists this ribosomal RNA (451 nucleotides) under uncultured Fibrobacter sp. RNAcentral describes it as "bacterial SSU rRNA". It matches the Rfam family "Bacterial small subunit ribosomal RNA", at positions 341 to 792 of the family's 1533-position model. The record is from RNAcentral. Lineage: Bacteria; Pseudomonadati; Fibrobacterota; Fibrobacteria; Fibrobacterales; Fibrobacteraceae.